This 2214-nucleotide long non-coding RNA is filed under the name Phoenix dactylifera (date palm). RNAcentral's name for it is "long non-coding RNA (PDAC_LNC012395)". Lineage: Eukaryota; Viridiplantae; Streptophyta; Magnoliopsida; Arecales; Arecaceae. The record is from RNAcentral.
GCAUACGGUAAAUGCAAUCGCGAUUCCUGCGAAAGUGAGUUAGUUUUUAUUUUGCUUGAGGACUAGCAAAAUAUAGGUUUGGGGGUGUGAUAAGUGCUAAAUAAUAUAUAAAUUAAUCUAUUUUAUAUAGCACUUAUUACUAUUUUGAUGUACAUACUUCAGAUUUAAAUAUAGAAAAAUGUGUUUCCCUCCAUGAUUGCAUUUUAAUAAAUUAUUAGAGAUAAUUCAAGUUUGAUUUGAUUAUUUAUUAUCGAGCCUAAUGUAUACAGGUCAAGUCAAACUCAAUUAGAUGAUGCCACACUGCACUAUUCUACAAGUCCACAUCUAAUCGAGCUCAACCUCUCGUUCAUGUUCCAACCUUCUUUCUCAAAACCUCCCACGUUGUUCUGUUUGAGCCUAUAUCACGUCCGUAGAUUAGUCUUCAUUCUGGUUGAAACCAGCCAUUCAAGUCAUCCCAUCAUCCACAUCAUCCUCAUCUAUGAAUUUUUUCCUUGCUUUACAUCUCGUGCAUAGCUCCAUCCUAGCUCCCUUGCAUCCCGACUCGGCCACACCCUCAACGUCUUCCGCUAGAUCCCAGUCAAAAUAAGCCUUCCAGAUUGCCUAUCAUCCUUAUCCCAAAGCCGAGAGACCCAUUCCAUCGCGACGAAUUUCUUCCAGCCAUGCUUAUCUCCCACGGAUAAGUGCCCACGUCUUCGGCAGUCCAAAGAACCGUCCCAGCCUCCAUCCCCUGCUCCACAUCACAGCAGAAUCAAGCCUUCAUCCUGUUAUGAUCCCCUCUUCAUCACAAAUCAAAACAACCACAUCCCCCUCCACAGAUAAGUUCUCAUCCAUCCCAGCUGAGAUUCUCUCAGCUUCACGCUCGUCUUGGCUAUUCGCAUAAGAUCUUCCACAUUCCGGAGUCCCUUCUCCCACGGAUCACUCCCUUCCGCAUCCCCUGUUCCGCUAUAUCUCAACUGCCAACCUUCAAAUCCCAAGCCUCCCAGCCGUCCGCCAUGCAUGCAAGAGAUCCCAACAUCCCAGCUUGCAAAACAUAGCCAGCUCGUUCAUUCCAAGCUUCCUCUUCUUCCGGAAUGAUUCCAUUACCCACAGGAUAAGUUCCAACCUCAAGUCCCAAGCUUCACAUUCUCUUCCCCUGUUUCGGAACCAAUCCCAGCCGAAUCCAACUCCUCCACCUCAAGUUCUCUAUUUCUCCUCACCAUCUUCUCCGGACCACACCAAUGAAUUAUCCAAAUCAACCGCGAGCAAGUUCAUCUUCCCAACGUCUCUCUCAACUUCUCUUCAUCACACGUUCCCUUCAUUCCAUCCCAACCGAACCCAACGUCCUCCGAGAUCCUCUCAAACGCCCACGACUGCUAUCAUUCCCUUUCCUCCCCUAUUUUAGAUUCAAAACAGUGCCAAUCUCCCGUGGAUCAACAUCUACCAACUCAUUUCCCCAUCCUUUGAGCAUCUCAAACAGAGCAAUCCACAGAUUAGAAUUCCCUGUUUCUCCACGUUGAUUCGUCCACAAGAUAAACUCAAAUCCCUUCACCCCAACAGACCAAUCCUUCACGGAUUCCUCCCGAACGUCCCACGAUGAAUCCAACGCAUCUCAGCAUCCUUAUCUCCUUCUGCAUCCAAACUUCCCAGCUGCCAGCCGUGUCCAAGAUCUUCUCCACGUCCUCGUCAUCCCCUGCAUCCAAGGAUCAAGCCAUCUGUUCAAAGUGAUUCGUUCCCAGCUUAUCUUCUUCCCAACUCUCGGAUCAGCUCCAAAUCUCAGCGAAGCCAGCACCCAUGACGCGUUCGAGUACUCCGCGAUUUGACUCCAUUCGCAAGUGAGCUUCGUGAAGCUAUAAAAGUAGAAGACUCCUCUUCCUUGGUGGCAUCUCUUCGGAGAGGGGAGACUGCUCCCAUCCCUUCUUCCCCCAUCGGGGGCUGAUCUCUUCGCUGGAGAAGCUACUCACUGGCCAAGUUCCCACGGGAAACAGAGGAGGGAGAGAAAAGUUUGGAUAUUUUGGGAAUGAUUUUCCAAAGAAAAAAAAAUAAGAAUGAAGUGCUAAGGGAAAGGAAGCCGAUCGUGAUGCAAAUGGAAGUUCGCUGCUGUGCCACUGCUGCUGUCGCCCACAACUCCAUGAAAGACUGAUCUUCUCUCUAGGGCUGGAUGCAGCCCUAAUAAAGGGCCAAGGGUUUUAUACUUUAAUUUUCUAUUCCUGGAGUUGUAUAAACUUUAGUUUGAUC